RNAcentral lists this ribosomal RNA (740 nucleotides) under uncultured archaeon. RNAcentral's name for it is "bacterial SSU rRNA". It matches the Rfam family "Archaeal small subunit ribosomal RNA", at positions 1 to 750 of the family's 1478-position model. The record is from RNAcentral.
UUCCGGUUGAUCCUGCCGGACCCGACUGCUAUCAGAGUGAGAUUAAGCCAUGCGAGCUAACGUAGCAAUACGUGGCGCACGGCUCAGUAACACGUAGUCAACAUGCCCAGAGGACGUGGAUAACCUCGGGAAACUGAGUCUAAACCGCGAUAAGUGAGGAUUUCUGGAAUGGUUCCUGACUAAAAUCUAUAUGGCCUCUGGAUUGGACUGCGGCCGAUCAGGCUGUUGGUGAGGUAAUGGCCCACCAAACCUGUAACCGGUACGGGCUCUGAGAGGAGGAGCCCGGAGAUGGGCACUGAGACAAGGGCCCAGGCCCUAUGGGGCGCAGCAGGCGCGAAACCUCUGCAAUAGGCGAAAGCCUGACAGGGUUACUCUGAGUGAUUUCCGCUAAGGGAAUCUUUUGGCACCUCUAAAAAUGGUGCAGAAUAAGGGGUGGGCAAGUCUGGUGUCAGCCGCCGCGGUAAUACCAGCACCCCGAGUGGUCGGGACGAUUAUUGGGCCUAAAGCAUCCGUAGCCGGUCCUGCAAGUCUUCCGUUAAAUCCAGCUGCUCAACAGAUGGGCUGCGGGAGAUACUACAGGGCUAGGAGGCGGGAGAGGCAAGCGGUACUUUAUGGGUAGGGGUAAAAUCCGCUGAUCCAUAGAAGACCACCAGUGGCGAAGGCGGCUUGCCAGAACGCGCUCGACGGUGAGGGAUGAAAGCUGGGGGAGCAAACCGGAUUAGAUACCCGGGUAGUCCCAG